This 465-nucleotide ribosomal RNA is filed under the name Vreelandella stevensii. RNAcentral describes it as "partial 16S ribosomal RNA". It matches the Rfam family "Bacterial small subunit ribosomal RNA", at positions 338 to 795 of the family's 1533-position model. The record is from RNAcentral. Lineage: Bacteria; Pseudomonadati; Pseudomonadota; Gammaproteobacteria; Oceanospirillales; Halomonadaceae.
CCUACGGGCGGCAGCAGUGGGGAAUAUUGGACAAUGGGCGAAAGCCUGAUCCAGCCAUGCCGCGUGUGUGAAGAAGGCCUUCGGGUUGUAAAGCACUUUCAGUGGGGAAGAAAGCCUUGGGGCUAAUACCCUCGAGGAAGGACAUCACCCACAGAAGAAGCACCGGCUAACUCCGUGCCAGCAGCCGCGGUAAUACGGAGGGUGCGAGCGUUAAUCGGAAUUACUGGGCGUAAAGCGCGCGUAGGCGGUCUGAUAAGCCGGUUGUGAAAGCCCCGGGCUCAACCUGGGAACGGCAUCCGGAACUGUCAGGCUAGAGUGCAGGAGAGGAGAGUAGAAUUCCCGGUGUAGCGGUGAAAUGCGUAGAGAUCGGGAGGAAUACCAGUGGCGAAGGCGGCCUUCUGGACUGACACUGACGCUGAGGUGCGAAAGCGUGGGUAGCAAACAGGAUUAGAUACCCGGGUAGUC